Molecule: ribosomal RNA, 2026 nt
Filed under: Escherichia coli
Lineage: Bacteria; Pseudomonadati; Pseudomonadota; Gammaproteobacteria; Enterobacterales; Enterobacteriaceae
Description: partial 23S ribosomal RNA
Rfam family: Bacterial large subunit ribosomal RNA
Source: RNAcentral
UGUUUCGGCAAGGGGGUCAUCCCGACUUACCAACCCGAUGCAAACUGCGAAUACCGGAGAAUGUUAUCACGGGAGACACACGGCGGGUGCUAACGUCCGUCGUGAAGAGGGAAACAACCCAGACCGCCAGCUAAGGUCCCAAAGUCAUGGUUAAGUGGGAAACGAUGUGGGAAGGCCCAGACAGCCAGGAUGUUGGCUUAGAAGCAGCCAUCAUUUAAAGAAAGCGUAAUAGCUCACUGGUCGAGUCGGCCUGCGCGGAAGAUGUAACGGGGCUAAACCAUGCACCGAAGCUGCGGCAGCGACACUAUGUGUUGUUGGGUAGGGGAGCGUUCUGUAAGCCUGUGAAGGUGUGCUGUGAGGCAUGCUGGAGGUAUCAGAAGUGCGAAUGCUGACAUAAGUAACGAUAAAGCGGGUGAAAAGCCCGCUCGCCGGAAGACCAAGGGUUCCUGUCCAACGUUAAUCGGGGCAGGGUGAGUCGACCCCUAAGGCGAGGCCGAAAGGCGUAGUCGAUGGGAAACAGGUUAAUAUUCCUGUACUUGGUGUUACUGCGAAGGGGGGACGGAGAAGGCUAUGUUGGCCGGGCGACGGUUGUCCCGGUUUAAGCGUGUAGGCUGGUUUUCCAGGCAAAUCCGGAAAAUCAAGGCUGAGGCGUGAUGACGAGGCACUACGGUGCUGAAGCAACAAAUGCCCUGCUUCCAGGAAAAGCCUCUAAGCAUCAGGUAACAUCAAAUCGUACCCCAAACCGACACAGGUGGUCAGGUAGAGAAUACCAAGGCGCUUGAGAGAACUCGGGUGAAGGAACUAGGCAAAAUGGUGCCGUAACUUCGGGAGAAGGCACGCUGAUAUGUAGGUGAAGUCCCUCGCGGAUGGAGCUGAAAUCAGUCGAAGAUACCAGCUGGCUGCAACUGUUUAUUAAAAACACAGCACUGUGCAAACACGAAAGUGGACGUAUACGGUGUGACGCCUGCCCGGUGCCGGAAGGUUAAUUGAUGGGGUCAGCGCAAGCGAAGCUCUUGAUCGAAGCCCCGGUAAACGGCGGCCGUAACUAUAACGGUCCUAAGGUAGCGAAAUUCCUUGUCGGGUAAGUUCCGACCUGCACGAAUGGCGUAAUGAUGGCCAGGCUGUCUCCACCCGAGACUCAGUGAAAUUGAACUCGCUGUGAAGAUGCAGUGUACCCGCGGCAAGACGGAAAGACCCCGUGAACCUUUACUAUAGCUUGACACUGAACAUUGAGCCUUGAUGUGUAGGAUAGGUGGGAGGCUUGGAAGUGUGGACGCCAGUCUGCAUGGAGCCGACCUUGAAAUACCACCCUUUAAUGUUUGAUGUUCUAACGUUGACCCGUAAUCCGGGUUGCGGACAGUGUCUGGUGGGUAGUUUGACUGGGGCGGUCUCCUCCUAAAGAGUAACGGAGGAGCACGAAGGUUGGCUAAUCCUGGUCGGACAUCAGGAGGUUAGUGCAAUGGCAUAAGCCAGCUUGACUGCGAGCGUGACGGCGCGAGCAGGUGCGAAAGCAGGUCAUAGUGAUCCGGUGGUUCUGAAUGGAAGGGCCAUCGCUCAACGGAUAAAAGGUACUCCGGGGAUAACAGGCUGAUACCGCCCAAGAGUUCAUAUCGACGGCGGUGUUUGGCACCUCGAUGUCGGCUCAUCACAUCCUGGGGCUGAAGUAGGUCCCAAGGGUAUGGCUGUUCGCCAUUUAAAGUGGUACGCGAGCUGGGUUUAGAACGUCGUGAGACAGUUCGGUCCCUAUCUGCCGUGGGCGCUGGAGAACUGAGGGGGGCUGCUCCUAGUACGAGAGGACCGGAGUGGACGCAUCACUGGUGUUCGGGUUGUCAUGCCAAUGGCACUGCCCGGUAGCUAAAUGCGGAAGAGAUAAGUGCUGAAAGCAUCUAAGCACGAAACUUGCCCCGAGAUGAGUUCUCCCUGACUCCUUGAGAGUCCUGAAGGAACGUUGAAGACGACGACGUUGAUAGGCCGGGUGUGUAAGCGCAGCGAUGCGUUGAGCUAACCGGUACUAAUGAACCGUGAG